GACGAACGCUGGCGGCGUGCUUAACACAUGCAAGUCGAACGGAAAGGCCCUGCUUUUGUGGGGUGCUCGAGUGGCGAACGGGUGAGUAACACGUGAGUAACCUGCCCUUGACUUUGGGAUAACUUCAGGAAACUGGGGCUAAUACCGGAUAGGAGCUCCUGCUGCAUGGUGGGGGUUGGAAAGUUUCGGCGGUUGGGGAUGGACUCGCGGCUUAUCAGCUUGUUGGUGGGGUAGUGGCUUACCAAGGCUUUGACGGGUAGCCGGCCUGAGAGGGUGACCGGCCACAUUGGGACUGAGGUACGGACCAGACUCCUACGGGAGGCAGCAGGGGGGAGUAUUGCACAGUGGGCGGAAGCCUGAUGCAGCAACGCCGCGUGCGGGAUGACGGCCUGCGGGGUGUAAACCGCUUUCGCCUGUGACGAAGCGUGAGUGACGGUAAUGGGUAAAGAAGCACCGGCUAACUACGUG
Molecule: ribosomal RNA, 468 nt
Filed under: uncultured bacterium
Lineage: Bacteria
Description: partial 16S ribosomal RNA
Rfam family: Bacterial small subunit ribosomal RNA
Source: RNAcentral